GCGCUCAUAGCUUAAUUGGAUAGAGCACCUGACUACGGAUCAGGAGGUUAGGGGUUCGACUCCCUUUGAGCGCACCU
This 77-nucleotide transfer RNA is filed under the name Sphingobacterium alkalisoli. RNAcentral describes it as "tRNA-Arg". It matches the Rfam family "tRNA". Rfam says of the family: Transfer RNA (tRNA) molecules are approximately 80 nucleotides in length. Their secondary structure includes four short double-helical elements and three loops (D, anti-codon, and T loops). The record is from RNAcentral. Lineage: Bacteria; Pseudomonadati; Bacteroidota; Sphingobacteriia; Sphingobacteriales; Sphingobacteriaceae.